This is an RNA transcript of Cydia pomonella (codling moth), 3386 nucleotides long. RefSeq lists it as uncharacterized. The record is from RefSeq and is a predicted model, not a curated record. The transcript has 4 exons. Lineage: Eukaryota; Metazoa; Arthropoda; Insecta; Lepidoptera; Tortricidae.
GUUGGUUCUAAAAUUAUUUUAACUUAACUCUAAACAACAAUGUUAAAAUGUUAAAAUUUCGCAAGAAAUAAAAGGCUAUUUUAUUUUAUUUAUUUAUUAUUUAUUUGCAGGUUCAUACAUUUGCCAUUUAAUGCAAGUAGCUAAUGUAUGAACUCGCAAUAAACACUAAUCAAUGUAUAAACAGACCCCAAUGUCAGCCUCACAUACCUGAAUGGGCUGUGUGCCACACUUUCCCAUGCUGACCUUACAUGAAGUUGAAUUGAACAUAGGUACAGUCAGCUGCAAAAAGUAUGUAUCGAAAGAAUUGUACUUGGUACUACACUCUUAUUACGCUGCGGGCUUAGCAUGGUCUUAGUUAUCACGCGAUAUGGUGACAAUCUUGUUGUUAAAAUGACAGUUUUCUUCGAUUUUAUCGUUCACACUGUUGCAGACGAUAAUAGGAGUUAUCCACAUUUGACAGCGAUAGAUGACAAUCGACAAUUUGCAUAACAUGGUCGUCGGAUAACUUGACACAUUAUCCCAUUUUGGCAGUUCAAUAUAGUUAAUUUUAUCUACGUGCUUCUUAGGUCACGACAAGCGUUGUCGUGGAUGCAAAGCUCAUGAAAAAACCUAUGUUAAGGUAUAAAUUAUCAGUAAGUAUCCGUUUUUCUAUGAUUUUAUUGAGUGUUAGUUAGUUAGUUAGUAGUGUAACUCCUCUGGAGUUGCAGGUGUACAUAGGCUACGGAGACUGCUUACCAUCAGGCGGGCCGUAUGCUUGUUUGCCACCGACGUAGCAAAAAAAAAAAAAGUUCCGCUGCAUAUAAUAUUGUCAAUAUUUUCUUUGCAGGGAUGUCGAGAUUUUAUUUUCUUCCAGCUCGCAGCUGCUGCAGAGGAAAAAGAAAGAAGAAGGAUUCAGCGACGAUCUUUGAGGGACGCUGCAAACCCCUUUGAUAUGCCGGACGAAGAGUUCCGUCAUAUAUACAGAGUACGAAAGGAGUUAGUGUUAUAUAUUUGUGAAGAACUCAACGCCGACCUCCAGCCUCACAAGGGUGAUGGAUUGCCAUCUCACCUUAAGGUUCUAACAGCAUUACAUCUGCUGGCUGAUGGCAAUUAUCAACACGGGACUGGUCAGGAUCAUGGUUUAUCUAUUGGUCAGACGACUGUAAGCCAGUAUCUCGAACAAUUUGUAGAUGCUGUGAACAGAAGGUAUGUUCAUUGGACCACUGAACUACUAGGCAUCAAAAACUGUGAGAGUAUACUAGGGCUAUCUUAGUAGUUUUUACUUUUUUGAAUAAGCAUCAGUGUUGAUGUAUUGUGUAAUGAGAUAGGUAUUGUUUGAUAGUUAUGUUCAGGUAGUUAGUUACAUUGGAUACAUAAUCUGGAAUUGCAAUACUAGCUAGGUUUGACUAAGGUUAAGUUCUAAAAUGUGCCAUCUAAAAUAUGCUCCUUUUUACAGACUUAAAGACCAAUGGAUAGUUUUUCCUGGAACUGAUCGGUCCCGACGAUCAGUUGCCUCAGGAUUUGAGGAUGCAUAUGGUCUGCCAAAUAUCUUGGGUGCAGUAGACUGCACUCAAGUGAAAAUAUUUCCCACCUGUGCCACACGGAGUGCAAUAUCUGAAUCGGAAAGGCGUUCACGCUCUUAAUGUACAGCUAAUUGCAGAUGUCAACUGUAAGAUCUUGGCAGUAAACACGAGGUUUCCUGGCCGUGUGCACGACUCUUUCAUAUUUAACAAUUCGUCCAUUAAGGAUGAAUUAAGAAGAUUGUACAAUGGCCACAUUGGGGAGUAUUUCCUUCUGGGUAAGCAGAAAAUUGUGUAUCUGUACCUAGUGUAAAUUUAUUCGAUGGGGAGACGUGACGUACGCGUUUGCGUUAACUGUCAUUUUGUAUGGAAUUUUGAGUUUCCAAAACAUCCCGCUUGGCGCGCUGUUUCUAAAUGCCUUAGCACCACUUGCACCAUUUCACUAACUCGGGGUUAACUGGUUAACCCUGGAGUUACCAUGUUACCAGUACAAUUUCACAUUGGGUUAACGGUUUAACCGGUUAACCCCGGGUUAUUGGGAUGGGGCAAGUGCAUGUUAGUAAAUGUACUUAGAUCACGACCACAGAAUAAAUAGUUCAUGACUAAGUUAAUAUACCUAUCAUAAUGUAAAUAACCGGCCAAGAGCAUGUCGGGCCACGCUCAGUGUAGGGUUCCGUAGUUACUCUUCCGUCACUAUAAGCUAAACUGGAGCUUAAAGUGUAGUAAAUGGUACCUUUCACCCGAGUUAAACAAAUAGGCAAAUUUGCAUAAUCAGUACCUAAUUAAAGUAAGUCUUUUUACUAUGAAGGGAAAACUUUUUGCGAUAACUCAAAAACAGCUAAACUGAUCAUGUCCGCUAUAGUUUUCAUUUAAUGUCUUUCUUAAGCUCUACUUCCACGAUUUUUUUCAUAUUUUUUGGACCUAUGGUUCAAAAGUUAGAGGGGGGGGACACAUUUUUUUUUUCUUUCGGAGCGAUUAUCUCCGAAUAUAUUCACUUUAUCAAAAAAUGUUUCUUGAAAACACCUAUUAGUUUUGAAAGACCUUUCCAACGAUAUCCCACACUCUAGGGUUGAAGCGAAAAAAAAAUUCACCCCCACUUUACGUGUAGGGGAGGUACCCUAAAAAAAAAAAUUUUAGAUUUUAUUGUACGACUUUGUCGGCUUUAUUGAUUUAUAUAUCCAUGCCAAAUUUCAGCUUUCUAGCACUAACGACCACGGAGCAAAGCCUCGGACAGACAGACAGACAGACAGACAGACAGACGGACAUGGCGAAACUAUAAGGGUUCCGUUUUAUGCCAUUUGGCUACGGAACCCUAAAAAGGCAUAAGCAAGGGGGAAGUUUCGUUAGUUGUUCAGAUGAUUAAGUAUUAUGUAACCAAAAAAUAAUAAUUUCAGGUGACUCGGGGUAUGCUCUUGAGCCAUGGCUCAUGACGCCAGUGCUGAAUCCUGCCCCGGGAAGCCCAGAAGCAAGGUAGGUACACGGUCUGGCACUGUCGCGUGCGCAACACGAUCAAGCGUACCAAUGGGUACCUCAAAAACGUAUUCCGGUGCCUGGGCCACGACCGCGUCUUACACUACAGCCCGACGAAGGCAUCGUCAAUAAUAAAUGCAUGUUGCGUAGUAUACAACAUAAUGCAACAUUAUAGAAAUGUUCCCGAGGAAAUCGUAGGAGAUAUUGAUGAAGACGCUCCUCAAGAACUUCCUCAUCGUCAUGCGCAAAACGGACUUCUAUUAAGAGUGGCGCAGGAAAAGCGUGCGCUUCUAAUAAAUACAUAUUUUGCUUAUUACUAUGUUUUAUUCUGAUACAAAUACCUACCUAAUAUACAGAACGUAGAAAAAUGCGCAAUGCUUUAGAUUCCCUUAACUUUGUUAUGGCUACAGGAAAAAU